GCUCGGAUGGUGGAAUUGGUAGACACGCUGGACUUAAAAUCCAGUGGACAUUGCGUCCGUGCGGGUUCAAGUCCCGCUCCGAGUACUA
RNAcentral lists this transfer RNA (88 nucleotides) under Flavobacteriaceae bacterium UJ101. RNAcentral's name for it is "tRNA-Leu". It matches the Rfam family "tRNA". Rfam says of the family: Transfer RNA (tRNA) molecules are approximately 80 nucleotides in length. Their secondary structure includes four short double-helical elements and three loops (D, anti-codon, and T loops). The record is from RNAcentral. Lineage: Bacteria; Pseudomonadati; Bacteroidota; Flavobacteriia; Flavobacteriales; Flavobacteriaceae.